UAGUCCACGCCCUAAACGAUGAGGACUGGCUGUUGGCGCUAUAGACGCGUCGGUAGCGAAGCUAACGCGUUAAGUUCUCCGCCUGGGGAGUACGACCGCAAGGUUGAAACUCAAAGGAAUUGACGGGGGCCCGCACAAGCGGUGGAGCAUGUGGUUUAAUUCGAUGCAACGCGAAGAACCUUACCAUCCCUUGACAUCCUCAGAAUGAUCUGUAAUCGAUCAGUGCCUUCGGGAACUGAGUGACAGGUGCUGCACGGCUGUCGUCAGCUCGUGUCGUGAGAUGUUGGGUUAAGUCCCGCAACGAGCGCAACCCUUAUCAUUAGUUACCAGCGAGUAAUGUCGGGGACUCUAAUGAGACUGCCUACGCAAGUAGUGAGGAAGGUGGGGGAUGACGUCAAAUCAUCACGGCCCUUACGUCCAGGGGCUACACACGUGCUACAAUGGACGGUACAGUAGGUCGCUACAUGGGCAACAUGAUGCUAAUCCGAAAAGCCGUU
This 497-nucleotide ribosomal RNA is filed under the name uncultured bacterium. Its description in RNAcentral is "bacterial SSU rRNA". It matches the Rfam family "Bacterial small subunit ribosomal RNA", at positions 791 to 1286 of the family's 1533-position model. The record is from RNAcentral.